ACAAGUGCCAGGCCCUGUGCUGAGCGCUCCGCAUACAACGUCUUACUCAAUCCUCACAAGUGCUUUCGUUAUUAGACGUGUACAUGAGCAAGCAGCAGAAACAAGACCCAAACUGGCUUAAGCAAGAGGAGAUUCUGCUGGCUCACACAACCGCGGGCUUCCCUCAUGGCUGCGAGAUGGCCACCAGGAACAGCCGGACAGAAUGCUUCUGAUUCCUGUCCAGCAGGAGAGAGACUGACCUUUCCAGGGCUUGCUUUCCAGAAUGAGGAAGAGGCCUUCCCAAAAGCUGCAACUUGCAGAUGGCAGAUCACGGGACUUCUUGGCCUCUAUCAUCACGUGAACCAAUUUUCAUAAUAAAUCUCCUCAUCUGUAUACACA
Molecule: long non-coding RNA, 378 nt
Organism: Rhinopithecus roxellana (golden snub-nosed monkey)
Lineage: Eukaryota; Metazoa; Chordata; Mammalia; Primates; Cercopithecidae
Exons: 3
Source: RefSeq, a predicted model, not a curated record